GUAUUGUUUUAUUUUGUCCUCCUUUAGACAGGAAGUUUUAAAUUCUCCGUGUGGUUCAUAGAGCCACUGAGAGUAUAUAAUAUAUAUAUAUAUCGUAUAAAAUAUUAUAGAAUGCAUAGCUCCAAUAAAGUUAGGUAAACAAGAUAUUUACACAGUAGAAAAUAAUAUGUAACAGUAAUCUGACAGAAAAAACCAACCCUUACACCCCUAUAGAUCUACAUGGUAAAACCCAAAUCAAAGAUAGGACGGGACUACUACAAUAAGUUAGGAUAUAAAAGGUUGACAAGGAUGGACAUCGCUAAAGACCUUCUGAACACUUUGUUAUUGGUUUUCAUGGACAUUUAUUGUUUUAGUUUGACAUGAAUAGCUUAAGGAUAUUAUGGUUGAUAAUUUAAACUUUAAUAAUUCAGAGUUUAUACGUUACCAAUGAAAACAAUAGAUGACAAUAUGUAAAUGGUUCAAUGGAGAAGUCCCCACACCAGACUGUGAUGGUUCAUCAAUCCUAAACCCAAUGUCGGAAGUCAUUUUGAUUUACUUCUUCAAUCUUAUCUAGGACAUGAAAUAUGAAUUGACUCUGAAAUAUAUAUCACCAGUAUUAAUCAUACACCCUGUCUUUUAGAAUUAUUAUCUCUCAUCAUUUGAGACACUUUAUUAAAACUAUGUAAAUGUUGUACUAUACACUAUUAAACCAUCACGAGAUAAAACAUUUCCCUGGGUAACUAUACAUCCUGAUAAAAAUAAGUAACGUUGAUCUUGGUUAGUUGUAACAUUAGGUACUGAUUGUUGGGUUGGCCAGGCUGUAUAGGGACGGUGAAAACUUGAUAUAUGUAACAUUAGGUACCGAUUGUUGGGUUGGCCAGGCUGUAUAGGGACGGUGAAAACUUGAUAUAAUGCCCCUCAUAUGUCUACAUCAUUCACAUUUCAAGGUCUUUUCCUUCUGUUUAAUUUUACAUUUGCCCCACUCUGUCCUAGUCACCCAUCAGGAAAGUUUCCUAGACAAAUAGUGCUUUUAUAAUGUGGAACUGUGACAUCUUAUUAUCAACCGACCAUUUUAAUUAAACGAUUUGUAUUAAGGACAUAUCCUACUUUAUCUUAUUUAGGUGUAUACACUGUUGUAAACACCUCUAAAUAAGUUCCACAUCAGGAGACCUGGUCAAUAUUCAUUCCUACAAUAUUAUAUUUCGGAGUUGUUCCCCCUGGUAAAUACAUGUACUGCUAGGUUGUUUUUUUUCAACCUGAAAUUCAAAAUCAAAAGAUGGCGAAAUGUAACUGGUUUUUACUGGACAAAUUGUGGCAUUAUAACAAGGUUUGACCGGAAAAAUAGUGGCGUUAUAACAAGGUUUAACCGGAAAGAUGUUGGUAUAUUAUAACAAGUUUUUUUUUUUGCGAUACUAUAUUAUUUUAUAGCAGGUAAUUAUAACUGCCCCCUUAAAUUUUACCAAUUACGUACAGGAUAUAUCUACAAUCUCUGUAUAUUGUUGGUAUAUAA
This is a long non-coding RNA of Pecten maximus, 1489 nucleotides long. RefSeq lists it as uncharacterized. The record is from RefSeq and is a predicted model, not a curated record. Lineage: Eukaryota; Metazoa; Mollusca; Bivalvia; Pectinida; Pectinidae. The transcript is spliced from 2 exons.